AAAAGAUAGUGAUUGGAUUUUGGAAAAUGGUGUUGAUAUAAUUAAAAAUUUAUUAAAAGGAAGUACAGAUAGUAAAAAAAGAGUUUUACUUUGGUUAAAUUUUAUUUUAAAAUCAAAUGAAAAAAAAAACAAAAAUAAUGUAUCAUUAUUCUAGUUAUCCUCAAUCAUUAGAUACAUCUUAUGCUUUAUUUUUGAAACUAUUAGGAGAAAAUUCAUAUGGCUUUUGUUUAAACAUUUUGUGGAUUAUGUUAUGUUUAUGUGAACCUAUAACAAUUAACAAAAUAAAUGAUAUUGAUUUUUUUUUUCUUCUUAGAGAUGACCCUUUUUCCAAAUUUUUAUUAACAAAUAUAACUAAUAAUUCUUCAUUUGAGGAAAAAUCGAAUGUAGAAAAAAUAAAAAAAAAGUUAAGUAUAUUAGAAUGUUUUCAAAAAGAACCUAAAUUUAUUACAUGUAUAUUUUGGAUGACAUUUAAAUCUAUGAGUGUUUUUUUUAAACCUGCUAUAAAUGAAUUUUUAAAAAUAAUACAAAGAGUAGGUCAUGUGAAAGAUAAAAAUAUUUAUUAUAUGAAUAUACAUACUUGGAAAAUAUUUUUUUACAACCCUAGAUUUCUUCAGUUAGUAUUUAAAUUUCUACACUUAUCAAUGAGAUACAUUUUAAAUACGGCAUAUUUAUAUGACAUGCGUGGUAACUUAAACAAUGAAAUGUAUAAUUACUUGGUUAAUCAUAAAAUGAAUUAUUCUCAUAUAGUAUUAAAAUCAUGUCCUCCUCCGAAUGAAAAAAUGUAUGAUAAAUGGCAAAGUGGUACUACCGUCGUUAAUAAUGGUAUACCCCAUACUGUUGACACAGUUGUUGACACAGUUGUUGAUAGUGCUGUUAAUGUUGGCGGUUGUAAUAUGGCUGGCGGUACAAAAAAGUUGGAUAAUGCAUCCGUGGUGGGAAAUGAAGAGAACAUAGAUCAACCAAACAACGUUCACUUGGAAGAAAGUAACAAGAUUGAAAUAAAAAAAGAAAAUAUGAACAUAUCGUCUGAAUUAUUAUCUAAUGAAGAAGAUCAUUUACAUGCUGCUCCACAGUUUUCUAUUAUACCUACAUUUUUUCUUAGUGAUAUUUUUGACAUAAUUUAUUUAUUAUUUGAAUUAGAUUCUUAUAAAAGUCAUAAUGGUGUAGAUUUAGCAAGUUAUUUAGAUGUAGAUUUAUUUUUGGCAUUUACUAUUUUUAC
RNAcentral lists this long non-coding RNA (1219 nucleotides) under Piliocolobus tephrosceles (Ugandan red Colobus). RNAcentral describes it as "lncRNA (ENSPTEG00000018253.1)". Lineage: Eukaryota; Metazoa; Chordata; Mammalia; Primates; Cercopithecidae. The record is from RNAcentral.